Rhineura floridana is the source of this 81-nucleotide non-coding RNA. The record is from the annotation of a RefSeq genome assembly. NCBI's taxonomy places the organism in Eukaryota, Metazoa, Chordata, Lepidosauria, Squamata, Rhineuridae.
GACAAAGUGGCCGAGUGGCGAAGGCAAUGUGACUGCUAAUCCACUGUGCUCUGCACGUGGGUUCAAAUCCCACCUUCGUCA